RNAcentral lists this unclassified non-coding RNA (339 nucleotides) under soil metagenome. Its description in RNAcentral is "partial contains 5.8S ribosomal RNA, internal transcribed spacer 2, and large subunit ribosomal RNA". The stretch from base 1 to 120 matches the Rfam family "5.8S ribosomal RNA", at positions 35 to 154 of the family's 154-position model. The record is from RNAcentral.
GAUGAAGAACGUAGCGAAAUGCGAUACGUAGUGUGAAUUGCAGAAUUCAGUGAAUCAUCGAAUCUUUGAACGCACAUUGCACCUCUCGGUAUUCCGGGAGGUAUGCCUGUUCGAGCGUCAUUUGUACCCUCAAGCUCUGCUUGGUGUUGGGUGUUUGUUCCGCCUCUGUGUGUGAACUCGCCUCAAAACAAUUGGCAGCCGGCGUACUUGUUUCGGAGCGCAGCACAUUUUGCGAUCCAGAUCAACGUACAGCGGCAUCCAAGAAGCCUUAUUUAACGCUCUUGACCUCGGAUCAGGUAAGGAUACCCGCUGAACUUAAGCAUAUCAAUAAGCGGAGGA